RNAcentral lists this long non-coding RNA (2773 nucleotides) under Coturnix japonica (Japanese quail). Its description in RNAcentral is "lncRNA (ENSCJPG00005003859.1)". Lineage: Eukaryota; Metazoa; Chordata; Aves; Galliformes; Phasianidae. The record is from RNAcentral.
AUGGGUCCUGGGGGGGAUAACGUGGGUGAGGGUGGAAAUAGGGUCUGGGGGCUUGGGGGCUUAGAACUGGGGGAACAACAUGGGUUGGGGGGCAGAACGGGGGCUUCAAGAAAGACAUUGUCAGGUUGGAGGCUGAACCAAAGGGACCUUAAAGUGCUCAUUCCUUGGGGGUCCACAUUAGGACCCAUUGGGGGUCCACGUUGGGCGCCCCCAGCCCUUUUUUGUGUCCCCCCCCCCGUUGGGCUGCGCUCCCUGCAAUGUCCAUGGCCGCCAGCAGUGCGCUAUAGCGCUGCGGCCGCCUGCAGUACCGGGGGCGUCCGCUGGGGGCGCUGUAACGGGGCGUCAAUGGCGUCUAUGUUUAAAGCGUGUGAUCCGGUCCGGUCCCGGUUCGGUUCCGGUUCGGUCCGCAGGAGGUUCGGGCGGCCGGAGGGAGGUGGCGUUCAGCUGCAGGUCGUAGAGGCCGCGCGACGUUUAGCGGCAGCCCGGGGCUGCCCCGAGCAGCGACGGCGCCGGCAGCGGCUGCAGGGAGAGGCGGCUCAAAGGCUGCGGCAGCUCCGGGCACAGCUGGACGAGAACGGCUCCGUGUGUGAGCUGCCCCCAUUGGAGAACGGCCUCCCCCCCCCCAAGCCGCACUGGGAUCCUCAGAUUCCUUCUCACUCCCCCUCCCCGUCCCCCCCGGUGCAUUUGCCCCCCACCCACUUUAGAGCCUUUCUGAGACCCCCCACAACCCCCCCAUUCCCCCCCCUUAAAGCCCCCAAGGAUCCCCCUAAUUCCCCCCCCACCUCCCAAGCCCCUUUGGGACCCUCAGAGCCCCUCCUAGAACAGACCCCCCCCUCCCUUGCUUCUAAGCCCCCCCCUCCCCCAAACUGGGCCCCCCCAGCCCUUCCCUAUGUCCCCCCCCCCACAGGAAGCUGACGGGCAGCUGCCCCCGAGUACCCCCUGGAACCGGGGAGAGACCCCAGCCCCCCCCACGGCGUCGAUCUGCAGCCCCCCCACGAGGAGCCCUGACCGAGGUGAGGAGCCCUUAUGGGGGAGGCUAAGGGACCCUAUGGGGGUCUAAGGGACCCUAUGGGGGGCUAAGGACCCUAUGGGGGUUCUAAGGGACCCUAUGGGGUCUAAGGCCCCCUAUGGGGUCUAAGGGACCCUAUGGGGGGCUAAGGGACCCUAUGGGGGCUAAGGGACCCUAUGGGUGCCUAGGAAACCAUGGACCCUAUGGUUCCUAUGGUCCUAUGGGACCCUAGGAAAUAGGGUCUGGGGGGGGAUAACGUGGGUGAGGGUGGAAAUAGGGUCUGGGGCUUGGGGGCUUAGAACUGGGGGGACAACAUGGGUUGGGGGGCAGAACGGGGGCUCAGAAAAAGACAUUGUCAGGUUGAGGGCUGAACCAAAGGGACCUUAAAUGUCCUCAGUCCUUGGGGGUCCACAUUAGGACCCAUUGGGGGUCCACGUUGGGCGCCCCCAGCCCCUUUUUUGUGUCCCCCCCCCCCGUUGGGGCUGCGCUCCCUGCAAUGUCCAUGGCCGCCAGCAGUGGCGCUAUAGCGCUGCGGCCGCCUGCAGUACCGGGGGCGUCCGCUGGGGGGCGCUGUAACGGGGCGUCAAUGGCGUCUAUGUUUUAAAGCGUGUGAUCCGGUCCGGUCCCGGUUCGUUCCGGUUCGGUCCCGCAGGCGUUCGGGCGGCCCGGAGGGAGGUGGCGUUCAGCUGCAGGUCGUAGAGGCCGCGCGACGUUUAGCGGCAGCCCGGGGCGCCCCCGGAGCAGCGACGGCGCCGGCAGCGGCUGCAGGUGGAGGCGGCUCAAAGGCUGCGGCAGCUCCGGGCACAGCUGGGUAAUGGGGGGCGAUAAAGGGGGUCUAUGGGGGAUAAAGGGGGUCUAUGGGGGAUAAAGGGGUCUAUGGGGGGAUAAAGGGGUCUAUGGGGGGAUAAAGGGGUUUAUGGGGGGAUAAAGGGGUCUAUGGGGUGAUAAAGGGGGUCUAUGGGGGGCUAAAGGGGGUCUAUGGGGGGAUAAAGGGGUCUAUGGGGGAUAAAGGGGGUCUAUGGGGGAUAAAGGGGUCUAUGGGGGAUAAAGGGGUUCUAUGGGGAAAGGGGUCUAAUGGGGGGCCAAAGGGGUCUAUGGGGGGAUAAAGGGGUCUGUGGGGGGAAACUGGGGGGCUGUGGGGGGUACAGGGGGAUGGAGGGGGAAAAUAGGGGUCUAUGGGGGGAUAGAGGGGUCUAUGGGGGGAUAAGGGGGUCUAUGGGGGAUAAAGGGGUCAAUGGGGGCUAAAGGGGGUCUAUGGGGGGGAUAAAGGGGUCUAUGGGGGAUAAGGGGUCUAUGGGGGGAUAAAGGGUCUAGGGGAUGAAAGGGGUUAUGGGGGAUAAAAGGGGUCUAUGGGGUGAUAAAGGGGUCUAGGGGGGCUAAAGGGGGUCUAUGGGGGAUAAAGGGGUCUAUGGGGGGAUAAGGGGGUCUAUGGGGGAUAAAGGGGGUCUAUGGGGGAUAAAGGGGGUCUAUGGGGGGAUAAAGGGGGUCUAUGGGGGGCUAAAGGGGUCUGUGGGGGGAUAAAGGGGGUCUGUGGGGGGAUAAAGGGGGUCUGUGGGGGGAUAAAGGGGGUCUGUGGGGGAUAAAGGGCCUAUGGGGGGAUAAGGGGUCUAUGGGGGAUAAAGGGGUCUAUGGGAUAGGGGGUCUGUGGGGGUAAAGGGGGUCGGGGGGGGGAUAAGGGGUCUGUGGGGGGUAAAGGGGGUGUAUGGGGAUAAAGGGGGUCUAAUGGGGAAUAAAGGGGGGUCUAUGGGGGCUAAAGGGGUCUAU